CAGCCGCCGCGGGAAUACGGAGGGGGCUAGCGUUGUUCGGAAUUACUGGGCGUAAAGCGCACGUAGGCGGCUUGGUAAGUUAGAGGUGAGAGCCUGGAGCUCAACUCCAGAAUUGCCCUUAAGACUGCCGAGCUAGCAGGUGAGAGAGGUAAGUGGAAUUCCGAGUGUAGAGGUGAAAUUCGUAGAUAUUCGGAAGAACACCAGUGGCGAAGGCGGCUUACUGGCUCAUACUGGACGCUGAGGUGCGAAAGCGUGGGGAGCAAACAGGAUUAGAGACCCCCGUAGUCCCUGUCUCUUAUAC
Molecule: ribosomal RNA, 301 nt
Filed under: uncultured bacterium
Lineage: Bacteria
Description: partial 16S ribosomal RNA
Rfam family: Bacterial small subunit ribosomal RNA
Source: RNAcentral